GAGUUCGCGGGAGAGUAAGUUAUUGCCAGGGUUUUUAUUUUAUACUUUAAACAUUGAUUUAUUUUUUUAUGUUUUUAGAUGUUCAUGUUUUUGAAUGUUUUAUUCGAAUAAUAUAAAAAAUAAAAUAUAUAUUGACAUGGAUUAAACAAAGAUAUAUAUUAUUCUAUGUUGUAUAAACAAAUUGGCAAAAUAGAGAUGGAAGAUAAAAAUAUGGUCAAAGUAAUAAGAGUCUAUGGUGAAUGCC
This 244-nucleotide unclassified non-coding RNA is filed under the name Borreliella garinii. RNAcentral's name for it is "partial 5S-23S ribosomal RNA intergenic spacer". Lineage: Bacteria; Pseudomonadati; Spirochaetota; Spirochaetia; Spirochaetales; Borreliaceae. The record is from RNAcentral.